AAUUACCUGCCUUGUUUGUGAUAGGAAUGGAAACUUAUUCCGACAUUAAAGAAUCCGGGAGCCAGCGUAAUGCAAGUGUUGAGCGCCCUGAAACUAUGGGGAAAAUGCCUGAUCUUGCUUUCAAGGCACCCACCUGUUUUACAGGGAUUCAAGUUUUGUUCUACACGGCAAGGUGGGUCUUUU
This 183-nucleotide non-coding RNA is filed under the name Nitrospirota bacterium. RNAcentral describes it as "Nitrospirae bacterium (marine metagenome) 6S RNA". It matches the Rfam family "6S / SsrS RNA". Rfam says of the family: E. coli 6S RNA was the first non coding RNA to be sequenced, but its function was unknown until recently. It consists of 184 nucleotides that fold into an extended hairpin structure with a large single-stranded internal bulge. Lineage: Bacteria; Pseudomonadati; Nitrospirota. The record is from RNAcentral.